Molecule: transfer RNA, 64 nt
Filed under: Staphylinidae sp. BMNH 1274171
Lineage: Eukaryota; Metazoa; Arthropoda; Insecta; Coleoptera; Staphylinidae
Description: tRNA-Ala
Source: RNAcentral
AGGAUAGUAGUUAACUAUAACAUUUAACUUGCAAUUAAAAAGUAUUGAAAAUCAAUUUAUCUUA